AGCGAACGCUGGCGGCAGGCUUAAUACAUGCAAGUCGAGCGCCUGUAGCAAUACAGGAGCGGCAGACGGGAGAGUAACACGUGGGAACGUGCCCUUUGGUUCGGAACAACACAGGGAAACUUGUGCUAAUACCGGAUAAGCCCUUACGGGGAAAGAUUUAUUGCCAAAGGAUCGGCCCGCGUCUGAUUAGUUAGUUGGUGAGGUAAUGGCUCACCAAGGCGACGAUCAGUAGCGGUCUGAGAGGAUGAUCAGCCUCAUUGGGACUGAGACACGGCCCAAACUCCUACGGGAGGCAGCAGUAGGGAAUAUUGGACAAUGGGCGCAAGCCUGAUCCAGCCAUGCCGCGUGAGGGAUGACGGCC
Molecule: ribosomal RNA, 361 nt
Filed under: uncultured bacterium
Lineage: Bacteria
Description: bacterial SSU rRNA
Rfam family: Bacterial small subunit ribosomal RNA
Source: RNAcentral